AUUGAACGCUGGCGGCAGGCUUAACACAUGCAAGUCGAGCGAGCGGCGGACGGGUGAGUAAUGUCUGGGAAACUGCCUGAUGGAGGGGGAUAACUACUGGAAACGGUCGCUAAUACCGCAUACCAUAAGUUGUGCCCAUAUGGGAUUAGCUUGUAGGUGUGGUAAUGGCUCACCUAGGCGACGAUCCAUGGCUGGUCUGAGAGGAUGACCAGCCACACUUGAACGGAGCAACGGCCCAGACUCCUACGUGAGGCAGCAGUGGGGAAUUUUGCACAAUGGGCGCAAGCCUGAUGCAGCCAUGCCGCGUGUGUGAAGAAGGCCUUCGGGUUGUAAAGCACUUUCAGCGGGGAGGCGUUACUCGCAGAAGAAGCACCGGCUAACUCCGUGCCAGCAGCCGCGGUAAUUC
This 406-nucleotide ribosomal RNA is filed under the name uncultured bacterium. RNAcentral's name for it is "partial 16S ribosomal RNA". It matches the Rfam family "Bacterial small subunit ribosomal RNA", at positions 30 to 526 of the family's 1533-position model. The record is from RNAcentral.